UCAAGUUUCCCUAUUUAAGCCCAAUUUCACCUGGCUAAAUGCAUUAGUUAACCGGAGACAUGCAGCCUGUAUACAACUUGGUUUUACUUGGCAUUAUUUGCCUGAUGGUUUUAGGUCUGGCCCUUGCAGUGCCGGCUCAGCACGGCCCGAAAACUAAAGAGACUCAAUUUUCGCGAAGUUGGGGUUGGCCUCCCUUUGCAUUUGAUCCCGAUGACUAUUAUUAUUAUUAUUAUUAUUAGUCUUUGGUUUUUUUCCAAAUUUAUUUUGAAGCCUUCAAAGGAGGUGAAAUCCUUUGCAAUUGGAAAACUUUAAACCAUAUUGGAAAUAUUAUAUAUUGUUUAAAUAAAUAUGCAAUUAUAAGGGGCCUAUAAAAGUUACCCUUUUUGAAUUUUGAAUUGUUAUAUGUGCAAGUAAAUAAAAUUUAACUACAAAA
This is a long non-coding RNA of Drosophila kikkawai, 433 nucleotides long. RefSeq lists it as uncharacterized. The record is from RefSeq and is a predicted model, not a curated record. Lineage: Eukaryota; Metazoa; Arthropoda; Insecta; Diptera; Drosophilidae.